This 75-nucleotide transfer RNA is filed under the name Priestia flexa. Its description in RNAcentral is "tRNA-Ile". The stretch from base 5 to 69 matches the Rfam family "tRNA", at positions 5 to 66 of the family's 71-position model. From Rfam's summary of the family: Transfer RNA (tRNA) molecules are approximately 80 nucleotides in length. The record is from RNAcentral. Lineage: Bacteria; Bacillati; Bacillota; Bacilli; Caryophanales; Bacillaceae.
GAGCCUAUAGCUCAGCUGGUUAGAGCGCACGCCUGAUAAGCGUGAGGUCGGUGGUUCGAGUCCACUUAGUACUCA